RNAcentral lists this unclassified non-coding RNA (349 nucleotides) under fungal sp. Its description in RNAcentral is "partial internal transcribed spacer region". The record is from RNAcentral. Lineage: Eukaryota; Fungi.
AAGUCGUAACAAGGUUUCCGCAGGUAUCCAACGUUAAACCCCCCUGUGAACUUUUAUACUUGCUCUCGUGGCUACCGGAAUCGCAAUCCCUGGUAAAUCAUUGAUGAACAGAUUUUGAUUCAGGGCCUCAGUUUGGUAGUUUCGAUCGAGCGGUUUCCCCAAGCAGCCAGUGUCUGAAAGUGUCUUUGAUUGUGUAAGACGCUUUUCGAUCACUAGAGGCCGACACCGGCCGGUGACCAGGUCGCCGUGGCUUCGGCCCCCCUAUAUUCACCCACUACCAACUUUCGCCUCGUAGGAAACUGCUGGGCAACAAAACGAACAACUGUUAACAAUGGAUAUCUUGGUUCUC